GACGAACGCUGGCGGCGUGCCUAAUACAUGCAAGUCGAGCGGACUUAAAAAGCUUGCUUUUUAAGUUAGCGGCGGACGGGUGAGUAACACGUGGGCAACCUGCCUGUAAGACUGGGAUAACUUCGGGAAACCGGAGCUAAUACCGGAUAAUCCUUUCCUACUCAUGUAGGAAAGCUGAAAGACGGUUUACGCUGUCACUUACAGAUGGGCCCGCGGCGCAUUAGCUAGUUGGUGAGGUAACGCCUCACCAAGGCGACGAUGCGUAGCCGACCUGAGAGGGUGAUCGGCCACACUGGGACUGAGACACGGCCCAGACUCCUACGGGAGGCAGCAGUAGGGAAUCUUCCGCAAUGGACGAAAGUCUGACGGAGCAACGCCGCGUGAGUGAUGAAGGUUUUCGGAUCGUAAAACUCUGUUGUUAGGGAAGAACAAGUACGAGAGUAACUGCUCGUACCUUAACGGUACCUAACCAGAAAGCCACGGCUAACUACGUGCCAGCAGCCGCAGUAA
This 510-nucleotide ribosomal RNA is filed under the name uncultured bacterium. Its description in RNAcentral is "partial 16S ribosomal RNA". It matches the Rfam family "Bacterial small subunit ribosomal RNA", at positions 28 to 523 of the family's 1533-position model. The record is from RNAcentral.